This 425-nucleotide ribosomal RNA is filed under the name uncultured bacterium. RNAcentral's name for it is "partial 16S ribosomal RNA". It matches the Rfam family "Bacterial small subunit ribosomal RNA", at positions 354 to 796 of the family's 1533-position model. The record is from RNAcentral.
GUGGGGAAUAUUGGACAAUGGGCGAAAGCCUGAUCCAGCCAUGCCGCGUGAGUGAUGAAGGCCUUAGGGUUGUAAAGCUCUUUCAGUAGGGAAGAUAAUGACGGUACCCACAGAAGAAGCCCCGGCUAACUUCGUGCCAGCAGCCGCGGUAAUACGAAGGGGGCUAGCGUUGUUCGGAUUUACUGGGCGUAAAGCGCACGUAGGCGGAUCGUUAAGUCGGGGGUGAAAUCCUGGAGCUCAACUCCAGAACUGCCUUCGAUACUGGCGAUCUUGAGUCCGGAAGAGGUGAGUGGAACUCCUAGUGUAGAGGUGGAAUUCGUAGAUAUUAGGAAGAACACCAGUGGCGAAGGCGGCUCACUGGUCCGGUACUGACGCUGAGGUGCGAAAGCGUGGGGAGCAAACAGGAUUAGAUACCCCAGUAGUCC